This 341-nucleotide unclassified non-coding RNA is filed under the name soil metagenome. RNAcentral's name for it is "partial contains 5.8S ribosomal RNA, internal transcribed spacer 2, and large subunit ribosomal RNA". The stretch from base 1 to 120 matches the Rfam family "5.8S ribosomal RNA", at positions 35 to 154 of the family's 154-position model. The record is from RNAcentral.
GAUGAAGAACGUAACGAAAUGCGAUAAGUAGUGUGAAUUGCAGAAUUCAGUGAAUCAUCGAAUCUUUGAACGCACAUUGCGCCCCUUGGUAUUCCAUGGGGCAUGCCUGUUCGAGCGUCAUUUGUACCCUCAAGCUAUGCUUGGUGUUGGGUGUUUGUCCUCUCCUUUUGCGAUUGGACUCGCCUUAAAGACAUUGGCAGCCAGUGUAUUGGUCUUGAAGCGCAGCACAUUUUGCGAUUCUUGCUGAUAAUCACUAGCGUCCAGUAAGCCUAUUUUAACACUUUUGACCUCGGAUCAGGUAGGGAUACCCGCUGAACUUAAGCAUAUCAAUAAGCGGAGGA